RNAcentral lists this ribosomal RNA (424 nucleotides) under Diaphorobacter sp. RNAcentral's name for it is "bacterial SSU rRNA". It matches the Rfam family "Bacterial small subunit ribosomal RNA", at positions 362 to 778 of the family's 1533-position model. The record is from RNAcentral. Lineage: Bacteria; Pseudomonadati; Pseudomonadota; Betaproteobacteria; Burkholderiales; Comamonadaceae.
UUUUGGACAAUGGGCGAAAGCCUGAUCCAGCCAUGCCGCGUGCAGGAUGAGGGCCUUCGGGUUGUAAACUGCUUUUGUACGGAACGAAAAGCCUCUUUCUAAUAAAGAGGGGUCAUGACGGUACCGUAAGAAUAAGCACCGGCUAACUACGUGCCAGCAGCCGCGGUAAUACGUAGGGUGCAAGCGUUAAUCGGAAUUACUGGGCGUAAAGCGGGCGCAGGCGGGUUUGUAAGACAGAGGUGAAAUCCCCGGGCUGAACCUGGGAACUGCCUUUGUGACUGCAAGGCUGGAGUGCGGCAGAGGGGGAUGGAAUUCCGCGUGUAGCAGUGAAAUGCGUAGGUAUGCGGAGGAACACGGAUGGCGAAGGCAAUCCCCUGGGCCUGCACUGACGCUCAUGCACGAAAGCGUGGGGAGCAAACAGGAU